This is a non-coding RNA of Anas platyrhynchos (mallard), 2558 nucleotides long. The record is from RefSeq and is a predicted model, not a curated record. Lineage: Eukaryota; Metazoa; Chordata; Aves; Anseriformes; Anatidae.
CGGACGGUGGAUGUGCUGCAGCUGCGCGCUCUGCCGGCCUGUCCUCCUGAGGAGAUCGCGCAGGUGCUAGGGGAAAAAAAACACAACAUAAAUCAAAGGGAAUGAACAGUAUGAAUGAGUAAGAAGAGGAGAGUAGCAGCAAUGAUGAAUGAAGGAAAAAACAGCCUGGACAAAGGUACUGCCCUGUCAACAGGUAAGGACUUCAGCUGGUAGCAGCCAGUGCACAAGAAAGAAGACGUGUCAUGUGGAACUGUGACGCAACAAUGGGUGACAAGAAGACCACCAGAAGACUGAAGAGGGGGAAAAGUAAAGGCACUGCCCUGUCAGCAGGGCUACAGUAAGCAGAACAGCGCUGGCACAUUAGGUGCCCGGGUUGGUUUUCUACUGUGUGACCACUCUGUAAGCAAGGGUGCAGGUGCUCAGGCUGCUUCUGUGUGCGCCCUACCCUACUUACCCAGGGUUGGAGCCGCACGGCAGAAGUAGCUUGAGGAGCUCUGUGCCUCAGGAUGGUGAGAAAAGUUGAUUUAAGUUGGUGUUGGUAAGACAAAGCCAGGGAUCCAAACGCAGCUCCUCAAAACAACCACCCUAAUGAACACAAACUUGAAAGUCCUCCCCAUUUCUUUCUGGCACAGGAGGUGGAGCUUCAAACCCAUGUCUAAUGGCUUGUGCUUUGUUUGCAGCAGCCAGCGCAGAAGAAGGAGGAGGCGUCGUGUGGAACGGCGAGGCAAGAGCGAGCGGGAAGAGGGAGCGGCAGAUGGAAGACGGGUAAAGAGGAGGACACCCUGGGCAAAGGCUUCGCCCUGUUAGCGGGGCUGUAGGUAGAGGAGAGCAGUGCUGGCACGUGAGGUGCCUGGAUUGUUUUGUGCUGGGCGACCUCCCUGUAAGCAGGGCUCGGGUCUUUGCGAUUGUAAUCGGCCUUUUGCCUUGUUGCUCCUUUGGCUGCCUGGGGGGAGCGGCCCCCUGUAAUCAGGGGCACAGCUGCUCUCUCCGCACCCGGGAGGACUGUGGAGCUUGCCGGACCCCAGGGCCUCCCUGUAGUCAGGGCAGAGCCAAUUCCCCACCCCCUUAAUUUUAGCCGUCUGGCUCUUUGUCUAAACUAUUUGUCUAAACGUGAUGGGCUAUGGAAACUUAGUAUAUGACUGAUGCCUAUGAUAUAAUGCCAACUAUUGCAUAAAAAGCAAUAUAAAAGCGAUAUAUAUAUAUAAUAUGACCUAUAUGAAUACAGUGAAAACAGAUUCUCUAAAGGAGAUGAACGAUAAAUUCUGAUGCAUGCUGUGUUUCAGCACGCCGUAGCUGGGGUGCAUUGUCCAAUUGGGUCUCGGCAGAAGCCGUUUCGGCUUCUGGACGUCUCUGGCAUCACUGUAAUUUCUGGGCGGGUCUGAGAUUCUCGCCUUAUGCUCGCGGGUGGCGUCUUGCUGCCCUGUGGUUGGCUGCGCUGGUCUCCUUCCCCACAGGGACGUUGUCUGUCCCUUUUCUCUGUUCUUUGCUCCUUCUCCAGGUGCGUGUGAGCGAGCGAUUGAGUUUUUCCUUAGGGCUCUCCUAGAAAUUGCUGCAGCUUAGCCCACACUUCCCUGGGGGGACCGAGGCCUUGCAGCAGCCUGAGCACAGAGAAUUUGAUAGGGACGGCGGAGUCCGGGCUUGGCCCUUUUUUUAUGGCAUUCAAGCGACACAAGAGUAGGAUGGGCGGCGGCACCCUGUAGUCAGGGCCUGGGUCUGCGCCCGUGUGCUUGUGUGUCUGCCGGAGACUAGUGCUCGUGACAACCCCGUCGUCGGGGUCUGUGUCACGAGGUGCGGAGCCCUCUGUCCCCGCGAGCAGGGCCGGCCUGUAAGCAGGUGCCGGAGCCAGUUGCUCUAGUCAGCCAGCAGGAACGAACAGCCCCCUCGCGGCCCUCUAGAGGGUGCGGGCUGGGGUGCUGCUGUUGUGGUCGGGGAUCUGCUUGGAGUCGGUAUUGCGUGGGCUUAGUCUGCCCGUAGGGCUCCUGAAGCGGUGGAGUUGUGGCACAGCCAGGCGGGCCGGUCCGGUCCGUGGGUGGGAGCCUCGUGCUCCACACAGUGUUGUGGCGCUGCUGGUGCAUGGGGUACCGCCCUGUAAGCAGGGUCAAGCGUAGCCCCGUGUCUCUCGCUGCAAGGAGCCCCCAGUAGCCAGGUGGGUCUCCGUGUCCCCCGCUUUACAUGGGCCUGGGGCCUCUAGAAGCAGGGCCGGGUUUUCACCCUCCCUGUAAGCAGGGCUUGGGGCCCGAGCCUCGGUAUUUAGCCAUCUCGCUCCGCUGGCGGGGGAAAGGUUGAGCUCUGCGGUUCCAUGGGUGUUGCGGACCCGCCUUAAGCAGGCUUUGGUCCGGAGCCUUUUGCUCCGCUGGCAGCUGUGGGGUGCCUGACCCGUUAGCGGGAUGCAGGCUUGUGGAUUCCCCACUUUGGGGAGAAGGAGCCUCCCGCGGCCUCUGGGCCCAGGGCAGCCCUGUAACUCAGGGUGCUGAUGCUCUGGUUCCCUGGGCACUUGAAAUUGUCAAUGGCUCCUCGGAGCCCCCCUGUUAGCCAGGGGUCCAGGCUCUUGGGCUGUU